This 978-nucleotide ribosomal RNA is filed under the name human oral metagenome. Its description in RNAcentral is "bacterial LSU rRNA". It matches the Rfam family "Bacterial large subunit ribosomal RNA", at positions 1953 to 2925 of the family's 2925-position model. The record is from RNAcentral.
AAGGUAGCGAAAUUCCUUGUCGGGUAAGUUCCGACCUGCACGAAUGGCGUAACGAUGGCCACACUGUCUCCUCCCGAGACUCAGCGAAGUUGAAGUGGUUGUGAAGAUGCAAUCUACCCGCUGCUAGACGGAAAGACCCCGUGAACCUUUACUGUAGCUUUGCAUUGGAUUGCGAACCGACUUGUGUAGGAUAGGUGGGAGGCUUUGAAGUCAGGACGCCAGUCUUGAUGGAGCCAUCCUUGAAAUACCACCCUGGUUUGUUCGCGGUUCUAACCUAGGCCCGUCAUCCGGGCCGGAGACAGUGCAUGGUGGGCAGUUUGACUGGGGCGGUCUCCUCCUAAAGAGUAACGGAGGAGUUCGAAGGUACGCUUGGUACGGUCGGACAUCGUGCCUAAAGUGCAAUGGCAAAAGCGUGCUUAACUGCGAGACUGACAAGUCGAGCAGGUGCGAAAGCAGGACAUAGUGAUCCGGUGGUUCUGUAUGGAAGGGCCAUCGCUCAACGGAUAAAAGGUACUCCGGGGAUAACAGGCUGAUUCCGCCCAAGAGUUCAUAUCGACGGCGGAGUUUGGCACCUCGAUGUCGGCUCAUCACAUCCUGGGGCUGUAGUCGGUCCCAAGGGUAUGGCUGUUCGCCAUUUAAAGUGGUACGUGAGCUGGGUUUAAAACGUCGUGAGACAGUUUGGUCCCUAUCUGCAGUGGGCGUUGGAAGUUUGACAGGGGCUGCUCCUAGUACGAGAGGACCGGAGUGGACGAACCUCUGGUGUACCGGUUGUCACGCCAGUGGCAUCGCCGGGUAGCUAAGUUCGGGAAGGAUAAGCGCUGAAAGCAUCUAAGCGCGAAACCUGCCUGGAGAUGAGACUUCCCUUGCGGUAUAACCGCGCUGAAGAGUCGUUCUAGACCAGGACGUUGAUAGGUGGGGUGUGGAAGCGCGGUAACGCGUGAAGCUAACCCAUACUAAUUGCUCGUGAGGCUUGACUCU